GCUUGGAUGGCUCAGUUGGUUAGAGCGCAGGUCUCAUACGUGAGUAUGACCGCUUUCGGCGGGGAAUCCUGAGGUCGUGAGUUCGAUCCUCACUCCGAGCA
RNAcentral lists this transfer RNA (101 nucleotides) under Dichomitus squalens. It matches the Rfam family "tRNA". Rfam says of the family: Transfer RNA (tRNA) molecules are approximately 80 nucleotides in length. Their secondary structure includes four short double-helical elements and three loops (D, anti-codon, and T loops). Lineage: Eukaryota; Fungi; Basidiomycota; Agaricomycetes; Polyporales; Polyporaceae. The record is from Rfam by way of RNAcentral. RNAcentral also lists the same sequence under 1 other name.